Molecule: non-coding RNA, 125 nt
Organism: Brassica napus (rape)
Lineage: Eukaryota; Viridiplantae; Streptophyta; Magnoliopsida; Brassicales; Brassicaceae
Source: Rfam
GGAAUAUAAAAAUCCGUCUCUUAAUUUUUAACUAAAAAAGUUAAGAACCGGUUCUUAAAUCUCUUAUUUAAGAGCCGGUUCUUAGUUUUUUUACUUAAAAGUUAAGAGACGGAUUCUUAUAUUCU